Small nucleolar RNA from Ornithorhynchus anatinus (platypus), 139 nucleotides. Lineage: Eukaryota; Metazoa; Chordata; Mammalia; Monotremata; Ornithorhynchidae. The record is from RefSeq and is a predicted model, not a curated record.
GCCCCCUCAGGAUCUCACCUGGAGAGUAUCUAGUACUCUACCAGUCUCAACUACGGGAGGCAGAGUCAAGCAGAAGCGUAACCAUUCCAUUCCUAGCUCGGGGCAGUGGCUAGCGAGUGGAAGGCAAUCUGCUACAGAU